RNAcentral lists this ribosomal RNA (253 nucleotides) under uncultured bacterium. Its description in RNAcentral is "partial 16S ribosomal RNA". It matches the Rfam family "Bacterial small subunit ribosomal RNA", at positions 524 to 776 of the family's 1533-position model. The record is from RNAcentral.
UACGUAGGGAGCGAGCGUUAUCCGGAAUUAUUGGGUGUAAAGGGUGCGUAGACGGGUUAACAAGUUAGUUGUGAAAUCCCUCGGCUCAACUGAGGAACUGCAACUAAAACUAUUAAUCUUGAGUGCAGGAGAGGUAAGUGGAAUUCCUAGUGUAGCGGUGAAAUGCGUAGAUAUUAGGAGGAACACCAGUGGCGAAGGCGACUUACUGGACUGUAACUGACGUUGAGGCACGAAAGUGUGGGGAGCAAACAGG